Long non-coding RNA from Corticium candelabrum, 608 nucleotides. RefSeq lists it as uncharacterized. NCBI's taxonomy places the organism in Eukaryota, Metazoa, Porifera, Homoscleromorpha, Homosclerophorida, Plakinidae. The record is from RefSeq and is a predicted model, not a curated record. The transcript is spliced from 4 exons.
UUAUCAAUACAUAUUUGCUAGAAUAAUCAGAUGAGAAUCAUUGUCUAGCUUGGUUCAGAGUUCGGAUGCAUUUUGUGCUAAUCUUUACUGCAAGCAUGAUGGACAAGUAGAGUGAUUCUUGCACAAGAUUUUGGCGAUUGGGCAGCAAGAAACCAAAGUGGGUGGAAAAUGAAUGAUUGAACUUGAACAGAGAUAUGGGGCUGAUUUUAAAGACAUUGAUAAUUUGGGUUGCAGAUGCUUUGCUGCAAUGGAGCUGAUGAUGGUGCAGCUUUCCAGCAAGACGCAGAAACCAGUUUGACAAGAAGUCAAAGUUGAUAUAUGUGAUUAUCACUUGGUUGUGAACUUGGACAUAUUAUUGCCUUUGGACAUCAUGGACAAUCGACUUUCUUGUUAACUCCCUCUGAGAAGUGGUCUGAAACAUGUAAGAUAACUCAACCAAGGACAAAGAGAGUUGAAGGCAGGUGACAAAAGAAUGAAUGAACUAGUCAGAAAAUACGAAUACGAUCUCUUGAAUAUGAAUGUGGAAGGUCAUACUCAUGUACUAUUGUCUUGCAAACGUCAAAUACCAGCUAUAGAUGCUGUGAUCAAGUAUUUAUCAGUAUGAAAUU